This is an RNA transcript of Gossypium arboreum, 2231 nucleotides long. It is a transcript of the gene named F-box protein CPR1-like, with no coding region annotated. The transcript is spliced from 3 exons. The record is from RefSeq and is a predicted model, not a curated record. NCBI's taxonomy places the organism in Eukaryota, Viridiplantae, Streptophyta, Magnoliopsida, Malvales, Malvaceae.
GAUGCUUCUGGAAGUGCAGAAAAGCAGAUUUUAUGAUAUAAAAUUAAAACUGUGGGACGCGUCUUUACGUAUAAAAGAGAGAUAACCCUGUCGCUGUUGCCUUCUCCUUGCACCACUUGUCGCCCCCACUCGCGCAAUCCCAACCUAGGCCGAUUCUUUCCCUUUCCUCCAAACAAACAAACGAACCCCAAAUCUUAGAGCCCCUCGAAACCCUCGUCUCUCUCUCAGAAAUCCCUCUAAACCUCCCAAACCCACUGCAAGAAAUGUCUAAGGUUCCCAUGGAUGUAGUCACCGAUAUCUUCCAUCGCCUUCCUGUCAAGACUCUCCUGCGUUUCAGGUCCCUUUCUAAACCCUACUUCUUUCUCAUAGACGACCCUGAUUUCACCAAUGCCCACCUCGAUCGUUCCAUCAAAACCAGAUCCAAUCUCAACAUCAUCCUCAAAGGUUUACAUCUCUAUUCCGUGGAAUUCGAUGCUCUGGAUAACGCCGUACCCAUCGACUAUCCUUUGAGUAGUGGAGCUGGGACUGAAGCCUUUGGUUCCUGUAAUGGAAUCCUUGCAUUCCGUCUCACCGAUAAAAACCUUGCCUUGUAUAAUCCCUCCACGAGGCAGUUCCGUCGACUGCCUGUUUCCGAGAUUGAGCCCCCUCCAGGUGAUUCUUGUAAAUCUGGGUAUAUCUUUUAUGGGUUCGGGCAGGAUGUUAAAACCAAUGAUUACAAAGUCGUAAGGAUGGUGCAGUUCAAUAAAAGUGACGAUGAAGAUGAUGAAGGUAUAUUUUACGACUACGAGGUUAAGGUUUAUAGUUUAAAGAAUGAUUCUUGGAGGAAAAUCACUAAGCUCCCUUGUUAUCUUAGGUUUAUGUUUCAAUUUUUCUACCAUCUAUUGCAUAGGCGAGGCUAUGGUGUGCUUGCUGGUGGGGUUUUACAUUGGGUGAUGCCUCCACGAAUUGAAUUGGGACCGAGGAAUAGGAUUGUGGGUUUUGAUCUUGGAAACGAGGAGUUCAUUGAAGUGCCUCAACCUGAAUAUGCCGAUAAGAACUAUCUGUUGGAUGUGGCAGCCCUGGAAGGGCGCCUAUGUGCUGUUUGUAAUUAUGACCAAGAGAAAAUUGAUGUUUGGACUAUGAAGGAAUAUGGAGUAAAACAAUCUUGGACUAAGUUGAUUUCCAUUCAAAGAACUAGAACCAUUACCACACUAACGUUUUUAAAGCCAUUAGCUUAUUCCAAGCAGCUUGAAAAGAUUUUGGUGGAGAUUAAUAGCCAAAAGUUUGGCUGGUAUGAUUUGCAAAAGAAGAAGAUGCGAAGUGUGAAGAUUGGUGGUAGUCCAGGUACAUUUGGUGCAGAGGUUUAUAUAGGAAGCCUCAUUCAGAUAGAAGACCCUAAAAGAUUGGAAAUUGAGAAGCAAAAUGAACAAGAUGAACUGAAAAACAGAAAUCGAAAGAACAGGGAUGAUUUCCUUUCGAAAGGAUUCAAAUUGGUCUUAUAAUCAAAAUCAAGAACAUAUACAAAAUAUGAGCAAAAUGGGAAGGAAGCUUAAUGGCUUAUAAAGGUACCGGCUCAGUUUCCUUUAUUUUUUUUAUUAAGGGGAAAGGGUAGGGUCUGUCCACGGAGUCGGAUCACUCGAACUCGGAUUGGUGUCUGCCCCUUGGUUGAGUAAACAAAAGUUAUUCCUUUGUUUAAAAUCCUCACUGAUGACCUCUUACACUCAUGGCGGAUCUCUUAAAGGGUUGACUUUGAAGGUCAAAUACAGUUGACUUAUGAACUGGGCUUACUACACUGCUUAGCUGACAAAGCUUGGAUACUUGUCUAACAUUAAAUCAUACUAUGUUUUCAAACCCCACAUCAACUUUCCUUUAAGAAGGGCAAGUUGGGUCCAUGUAUUAAUCUUGUGAGAAUGUUGAUAGCUUUUAUUAUGCGAGACAUUUAGGAAAUUUCAACAUCAUUUUGAUCUGUUAUUUAAUUCCUGCAUCUGAACUUGAUGGGUUUAUGUGUAAAGCCAGAGCAGAUUGAAAAAGAGUGCUAAUCUAAUCCAUUUCAACAGUUGAGAAAGUGACCUUUGCUUCAAGCACAACCAGAUGUCUUUUACCUCUUGCCUCUUGGGCUUAAACUCCGGAGUAUCAGUGAAUGACCAAGUUUGAUGUUUUUUGGAUUUAAAUGAUUGUGAUAUAUAAGCAUGUUUUGUUAUACUGAAUACUGGUAAUCAGUGCUAUAAAUCCGAAAAAUUUUGUAUUUUAAA